GUUUAAAUAAUUUAAAAUAUAAAAAUAUUAAUUUUGUAAAUUAAAAAUAAAAACUUUUUAAACA
Molecule: transfer RNA, 64 nt
Filed under: Dipterophagus daci
Lineage: Eukaryota; Metazoa; Arthropoda; Insecta; Strepsiptera; Halictophagidae
Description: tRNA-Thr
Source: RNAcentral